RNAcentral lists this ribosomal RNA (460 nucleotides) under uncultured bacterium. RNAcentral's name for it is "partial 16S ribosomal RNA". It matches the Rfam family "Bacterial small subunit ribosomal RNA", at positions 338 to 795 of the family's 1533-position model. The record is from RNAcentral.
CCUACGGGAGGCAGCAGUGAGGAAUAUUGGUCAAUGGACGAGAGUCUGAACCAGCCAAGUAGCGUGAAGGAUGACUGCCCUAUGGGUUGUAAACUUCUUUUAUAUGGGAAUAAAAUGUUACACGUGUGGGAUUUUGUAUGUACCAUAUGAAUAAGGAUCGGCUAACUCCGUGCCAGCAGCCGCGGUAAUACGGAGGAUACGAGCGUUAUCCGGAUUUAUUGGGUUUAACGGGAGCGUAGGUGGAUUGUUAAGUCAGUUGUGAAAGUUUGCGGCUCAACCGUAAAAUUGCAGUUGAAACUGGCAGUCUUGAGUACAGUAGAGGUGGGCGGAAUUCGUGGUGUAGCGGUGAAAUGCUUAGAUAUCACGAAGAACUCCGAUUGCGAAGGCAGUUCACUGGACUGCAACUGACACUGAGGCUCGAAAGUGUGGGUAUCAAACAGGAUUAGAUACCCGUGUAGUC